This 1536-nucleotide unclassified non-coding RNA is filed under the name Hevea brasiliensis (rubber tree). The record is from RNAcentral. Lineage: Eukaryota; Viridiplantae; Streptophyta; Magnoliopsida; Malpighiales; Euphorbiaceae.
CAAACCAUUCGAUUUCUAUUUUGGCAAGAUUCGAUUAUGAGAUUAUUAAAAACAAAAAAGAAAAAAAAUAUCUAAAUUCUAUAUUUGUAAUAGGAAAUCAUAUUAAUUAAAAUUUCCAAAGCCUAAAUAUCAUAAUUUAGUCCAGAUAAUACUGAAUAUAAAUCCAAAGAAAGGAAAAGAAAAUUAAUUCCAGAAACUACAAGAUUAUAGCCUUCAUUAUUCAAGAGUCAUGUCUAACACUGUCUUUUUUUUUUGUCCCUCAUCUCAAACUCAUUAGUGCCACUGUCACAGAACUCAGAGAAUUGAGGAAUAUGUGCUUGAGAAGAAACAUUCGUCAACCCUGGCAGCUGCAUGCUUAGACCAGUAGCGUACUGGGUGAUCCCCAGGAUUAUUCAUCAUCAUCGCAUUUGUAGGGGCUUUAAAUGGAGACCAAGAUCUCUUGCUGCUACACUCACCGCCAAAUUGGCUGAUUCCCUCACCAUUGGUCAUCUUCAUCAUCAUCAACAUCGGACUAUUGAGAGAAUCAAGAUUAAAAGGAGGCAUCUGAGGGAGAGUUUGAUGGGAUAGAUUCACAAAAGACAAUGGCUCCUGCUCAAGAACCUCAAACUCCAUAUUCUUUUGACGCAAGGCGUUAGCGAAAGUUGAAGCCAUUGAACUUGAUUUAAAACUUUUAUUAUUGCUGGAGCCUCCUUCAUCAAUAGAACCAAACAUCAAAUAAUUGUCACCUUUACUCUUCAAAACCCUACUAGUUGCAAUUUCAAGCUUUGAACCUAGAACCCCAUCAAGUAGAGUGAGUUCAUGAUACUGCCAAAGAUUUAGGCGAUUAUCCCACGUCGGAAACUUUGCUUUCAAACAUGCCUUUCGCAGUUUAGCAAUCUCAUCAUCCAAUUUCUUCUGGCGGGCAACAAAAAAACCAGACAAAUCUUGGUUUUUCCUUCGCUCAUUGCCCAUAGAUAGGAAUCUGUUUAUAAUGCGCCUCAUAUCAUAGCGAUCAGUAGGCCAGGUCUCAACAUCGAUCGGACGAUUAUUUAAAUUUGGCCCUAGGAUGAUCACGCAGGCAUCUACAUCACAAAGAAUGCUUAACUCCUGCAAUUUCUUGAUCAAACCCUUCUUUCUUUUGUGAUAGGUUAUCAUGCGAGACUUCUCAUUCAUUAUCAGUUCCAUGUUUAGCUUUCCACGACCCAUAUCUUGAUCUAAGGAGGAAAAUUUUUCAAAAUAUGAAGCACACUAGACAAAUAAAAUAUUCCUAUUGAAUUACAUUAGCAAUUCUCUUUCAAGGCAGCUAUUUUAGAAGCAAAAAUUAGAGAUCUAAAUUGGAUUUUAAGAUUAAUUUCCUAAAAGUUCAAAGAUAAACCAAUCUUACACAAACACAAAGCAAAAGCAAAACGAUAUAAUAAAGGCAUAAACAAUGAACAAAGUUCAUAAUAUAAUAAAGAGAUAAGAGAGUAUAGUAAGAGAAGAACCUUAGAUUUUAAUGGCCUCCUAAGCUUCUUUGAUCUAAUUACAGUAGCACAAUAAUGGAAUUGUUCAAGGCCU